GAAACGACUCUCGSCAACGGAUAUCUCGNCUCUUGUUACGAUGAACAACGUAGCGAAAUGCGAUACUUAGUGUGAAUUGCAGAAUCCCGUGAAUCAUCGAGUUUUUGAACNCAAUUUGCGCCCGAGGCCUCGGUCGAGGGCACGUCUGUCUGGGCGUCGCAU
RNAcentral lists this ribosomal RNA (162 nucleotides) under Pinus montezumae. RNAcentral describes it as "5.8S ribosomal RNA". It matches the Rfam family "5.8S ribosomal RNA". From Rfam's summary of the family: 5.8S ribosomal RNA (5.8S rRNA) is a component of the large subunit of the eukaryotic ribosome. It is transcribed by RNA polymerase I as part of the 45S precursor that also contains 18S and 28S rRNA. Functionally, it is thought that 5.8S rRNA may be involved in ribosome translocation. Lineage: Eukaryota; Viridiplantae; Streptophyta; Pinopsida; Pinales; Pinaceae. The record is from RNAcentral.